This is a long non-coding RNA of Vanessa tameamea, 306 nucleotides long. RefSeq lists it as uncharacterized. The transcript is spliced from 2 exons. The record is from RefSeq and is a predicted model, not a curated record. NCBI's taxonomy places the organism in Eukaryota, Metazoa, Arthropoda, Insecta, Lepidoptera, Nymphalidae.
UCUAUCGUUCAGGUAUUUCGAUAUUAGCCCUUAUACCGAUAUUUAUAUUAUUUUCAUUAUAAAAGUUUUUACUCCAAUCAAUACACGUCCUUUACAAAAAAUAUCAUUAAGGCCAUUCCACGAAACGAGCUCCCAAAGAAAUAUGUACGUGUGCGGUCAUCGGUAAUUACAUGCACAUUCGUCUCACUUACCUCUAGCAUCGACCAAUGACGUGUGAGUAUUUCGUUCCCUAGGAGUUCGACUCGCAACGUCAACGACUACGAAAACGUACCGGCUGGGACGGCGAUCUUGUGGUGAGUUUCAACA